RNAcentral lists this ribosomal RNA (253 nucleotides) under uncultured bacterium. Its description in RNAcentral is "partial 16S ribosomal RNA". It matches the Rfam family "Bacterial small subunit ribosomal RNA", at positions 524 to 776 of the family's 1533-position model. The record is from RNAcentral.
UACGUAGGGGGCAAGCGUUGUCCGGAAUUAUUGGGCGUAAAGCGUACGCAGGCGGCUUUGCAAGACAGGUGUGAAAUCCCCGGGCCUAACCUGGGAACUGCAUUUGUGACUGCAUAGCUAGAGUUUGUCAGAGGGGGGUGGAAUUCCACGUGUAGCAGUGAAAUGCGUAGAUAUGUGGAGGAAUACCGAUGGCGAAGGCAGCCCCCUGGGAUAACACUGACGCUCAUGCACGAAAGCGUGGGGAGCAAACAGG